Molecule: non-coding RNA, 6433 nt
Organism: Oryctolagus cuniculus (rabbit)
Lineage: Eukaryota; Metazoa; Chordata; Mammalia; Lagomorpha; Leporidae
Source: RefSeq, a predicted model, not a curated record
CUUUUGAAGCCUUGUAUUUCAGUAGUGUUGAUUAUACUGUCUGCUUUUUCAUCUAAUCUUAUUUAUUUGAGGUUUUGAGGUUUUUUUCUCUUUUUUUCUUUGUCAUUCUUGUUAGAGACUGAUUUAGUUUUUAAAAAUUUUAUGUGAGGUAAACAAAUUUCAUGUACUUGCCAUAUACAUAUUCAGGAACGUAUUGAUUCUUCACACCCAACGCUUCCUCUAGCCCAUGCUUCCAUACUUCUUCCUCUUCCCUCUCCUGUUUCCACUGUUAAUUCUAAUAGAAAAAUAUUUUCAGGUAACUUUAUACUCAUAAUAGUCACUAUUCACUAAGUAAAAAGUUCAACAAAUAGUAUGAAGAAAAUAAAUUGUUCCUCAAAGUGAGACAAGGCUUGUAAAAAAAGCAUCAUAUCUCAAAAUACUCAUUUUAUUCCUACACAUUAUUACCUGUUAAAUACUCUCUUAGUCACCGCAGAUCAGGGACAACAUGUGGGAUUUGUCUUUUGGGGACUAGCUUAUUUCACUAAGUAUAAUGUUUUCUAGUUAAAUCCAUUUUGUUGCAAAAGACUUCAUUGCAUUUUUUCCUGCUGAAUAGCAUUCCAUAGUGUAUAUAUACCACAGUUACUUUUUUUCAAGAUUUAUUUUUCUGAGAGGCAGAGUUGAGAGAGGGAGAGAUAGAGAACGAGAGGUCUUCCAUCUGAGAAUGAGAGGUCUUCCUUCUGGUUCACUCUCUAAAUGGAUGCAAUGGGUAGAACUGGGCUGAUGUGAAGCCAGGAGUCAGCAGCUUCUUCUGGGUUUUCCACACAGGUGCAAGGGCCCAAGGAUUUGGGCCAUCUUCUACUGUUUUCCUAGGCCUUCAUCAGGGAGCAUCCAGGCUUCGAACAGGCACAACUAUGGGAUGCUGGUGCAUCAAGUAGGAGGCUUAACCCACUUUGUGCUGGCCUCCAUAAUUUCUUUAUCUAAUCGUCAUUUGAUAGACAUCUGGGUUGAUUCCAUAUCUUAGCUGUUGUGAAUUGAGCAGCCAUAAACAUGUGGGUACAGAUAACUCUUUCAUCUGCUGAUUUCAAUUUGUUUAGGUAAAUUCCCAUGAGUGGCAUUGCUGGUUCAUAUGAUUCAUCUAUUUUCAGCCUUUUGAGGUGUCUCCAUACUGUCUUCCACAAUGGCUUCACCAGAUUACAUUCCCAAUGGAUUAGGAAUAGGUUACCUACCUAGAGCACACUUGAGAUCAACACAGGCCCGCUAUUCUAGCCUGGAGACAAGACAGCUGUCACCCACGUUUUUACGCUGCCUGUACGCUUCUGGUGCUGCUGUGCUUGCUGGGAGGGAGAGGAGGGUCUUAGAUGGCUGGCGCUUGCGCAGUCGGCCUGGUGGAGAGCAAGAAGAUGUAUCCGGCGGUGGCGGCAUGUUGUCGGCUGCAGGAGUUGUCGGCUGAUGGCGGCGUUUUCGGCAGAGGUACAGGCCCGGAGAGUGCAGGAGUGAAGACAUCUUCAUGGAUAUGAAACUGGACGCAGAGUUGACGCUGAAGUUCAGCUUGCCGAGUCAUCUUCCAUUUCUAGAGACUGCUCGAUUUCCUGCUAAACACACUUGGGGCUUCUUCCUGGAGAGGAGCAACUGACAGAAUUACAGAGAGAGGUAGAGACAGAGAGAGGUCUUGCAUCUGCUGGUUCACUCCACAGAUGGCUGCAACGGCCGGAGCUGGGCCAAUCUGAAGCCAGGAGCCAGGAGCUUCUUCCAGAUCUCCCACAUGCAUGCAGGGGCCCAAGGAGUUGGGCCAUCUUCUACUGCUUUCCCAGGCCAUAGCAGAGAGCUGGAUUGGAAGAGGAGCAGCUGGGACUAGAAGCAGUGCACAUAUGGAAUGCCACUCCAUGCCAAUGUGUGUCCUGUUGCCAGUGAGGAGUGUGCCUGUGCCUGGCGCUUUGACCCAGAAGUGCACCCGCAGGUGCCGCCACUUCUGCCCUCGAUGCACUGGUGGGAGUCAGAGCCAUGUCUGCUCCUUCCCAGAGCCUUGAGGAGCCGCCUUCAACGCUGGUGGCUGAACCUGAGGAGACCCAGGGCCCCCCCAGGCUCAGGCCGGGAUCAGACUGCACACACAGAGGAGAAAGCAGAAGCUUAGAGAAAUGCCAAGAAUCCCUCAGUGCCCUGUUCCAGCCUGCCCCAAGAUUCUGACACCUCACAGUCCUGUGUCCUGGUUCACACUAAUGGUCAUCUUAAGAUUUACUUUGCUGUUCUAGUGUUUUAAGGUAAAAUUUGGUUUACUGAUCUGAUAUCUGUAUUCCUUAAUAUAUACCUGUAUAGCAAUAAAAUUCCUCAUGUGAAAUUAGGCCUGUCAACAUGGAAAACUCUAAGGAUGUACCCACUACUGGGAACAUACUGAAGGAAAUUAAAUCAUUAUGUAACAGAGGGAUGCACAAGCCUAUGCUUAUUGCAGCAAGAUGCACAAUAGCCAGGCUAUGCAGUGUGUAUAUGUAUGUAUGGUAUACAUAGACCAUAACUUCUUAAUUCACUUUUCAGUUGAUCAGCAUUUUGAUUGAUUGAAAUAUGCCUAUUGAAGCCAUUUACCCAUUUCUUGAGUGGGUGGUUUGUUUUGCUGUUGUUGAGUUUCUUGAAAAUAUCUGGUAGUAAACCCUUUAUCAGCUGCAUACAUUGCAGAUUAAGUUCUACCAUUCUGUUAGUUGCUGCUUCACUUUGUGGAGUGUUUUUUUUUUUUUUUGGUGUCCUCUUCAUUAAUCUUUUAUAGUUCUCAGAUAUUGGACAUCCUUGGUUAAAUUUAUUCCAACCUAUUUUAUUUUCUUUGUAGAUAUGUGAAUGGGAUUGGUCUUCGAAAUCCUUUCUCAAUCAUGACCUUGUCUGUGUAUACAAAAGCUGUUGAUUUUCUAUCCUGCCACUGUACCAAACUCUACUCUUGAGUUUUGAUAUUCUUUUAGUGGAGUCUUUUGGAUCUCCUAUAUACAGGAGAAUAGAAAAUGUCAACAGUGACCUCAGAGGAUACCUUUCUGUAUUCUGUUUUGCUUUGUGGAAGACACGAUUUGUCCUAUUUCAAAGGCAGGGCUAGAAUGUGGAGGGCAGAGAUGGGGAAGCAGACCUGUGUUCGGUGAAGAACUCUGCAGAUCACAGGUAUUUCUACCCCUUGUGUGAAUGGGUACAUAGUCUGAAUAAAUAAAUUACAAAGAUUUCCUCAUGUGCAAGUCAGAGAUAAUGCCACACAGAAUGUUUGUAAGGAAGAAGAGAAUGAAUGGGUACCAGAAUCUUUUCUAAGACUGAGUUAAAUUCUUUUUCAAAUUCUGUGUUAAUGGGGUAUGUAAUGCAUAUAGUAUCAAAUUCUAGAUAAACUCAAGUAGUUGGCCUUGAUGUAGUAUUUUCUUUACAAUGAGCUAGGUUUUACUUUUUAAAAAAGUCUUAUUUAUUUAUUUGAAAUUCAGAGUUACACACAGAGAGGAUGAGAGGCAGAGGCAGAAUGGCAGAGAGAGAGAGAGGGAGAGGUUAUCCAUCUGCUGGUCCACUCCACAGUUGGCUGCAAUGGCUGGCGCUGAGAGGAUUCAGGGUGAGGAGCUAGGAGCAAGGAGCCUCCCUGGGGUCUCCUGCAUGGGGACAGGUCCCCAGGACUUGGGCCAUCUUCGACUGCCUUCCCAGACCAUAGCAGAGAACUGCAUCAGAAGUGGACCAGCUGGGACUCGAACCGGCGUCAUAUGGGAUGCUGGCACUGCAGGCAGUGGCUUGACCCGCUAUCCCCCAGCGCCGGCCCCUCCCAGAAGCUGUUCCCCCUGGGAUCCAGCUGUCUGCUAACAUGCCUGGGAAAGCAGAGACGGCCCAAGGACUUAAGCCCCUGAACCCAGAAUGGAGCACCAGAAAAAAGUCCUUGGCUUCUUCUUUGGCCUGUCCCAGCCCUGGCCUUUGUAGCCACCUGAGGGGUGAACCCGCAGAUGGACGAUCACUGAGAGAGAGAGAAAGAGUGCUGGCGAUGCCCCCUGCACUGCUUCUCUCCCCAAACGGCUUUGACGGCCAGCACUGGAUCAGGCAGAAGUCAGGAGGCAGGAGCUCCAUUCAGGACUCCCACGAGGGAGGGAGGGAGGCAGGGAGGCAGGGAGGCAGGGAGGCAGGGAGGCAGGGAGGCAGGGAGGCAGCGAGCCAGGGUCCAGAGUACCCAGGCCUCAGCGGCUGCCUCCCUUUAUCACAACCUGGAGCAAGAGCAGCUGACUGAGGCGGGCCUGUGGUUUCGGGCGCUGGAUGCGGCAGUGCACAGAUGCGUCCCGUGGCGCCAUGGCGAUGGCCAGUGAGGAGUGCGCCUGCGCCCGGUGCUUUGACCCGGAAGUGCACCCACAGGCGUGGCCGCUUCUGCCUUCAGUGCAUGGGUGCGAGUCAGGGCCGUGCCCACUCCUGCCCACGGCUUGAGCGAGCCUUGAGGAGCCGUCUUUGACGCUGGUGGCCAAACCUGAGGAGUCCAGGGCCUCCCAGGCUCAGGCCAGGAUCAGGUGAGGCUGCGGCCCGAGGCGGCCGCAUCAGUUCCUUGGGCUUCUGGAAACUUCCAGGCGCGGUCCUCUGCUUCGGCCCCUUCCCGAAGACUACACCUCAGGACUCGGUUCCUGUUCCUGAGGAACAGAAAUGCUCUUUGUGAGGGGAUUCGGCACGGUGGACUUCCCGUCACGGGACUGCACACAUGGAGGAGAAAGCAGAAGCUUAGAGAAACGCCAAGAAUCCCUCUGUGCUCUGUUCCAGCCUGUCCAAAAUUCUGACACCUCACACCCCUUCUGGAAGCAAUGGCUGUCCCGCCAGCAGACCAGGCCCCCUUGGAGUGGUGAUACCAGUUUACAUUCCCACCAGCAGUGGAUUAGGGUGCCUUUUCCCUCACAUCUUCAAGGUAGAGUUAUAGAAAGUGAGAGAGAGAGAGACAGAGAGAAAGGUCUUCCUUCCGCUGAUUCACUCCCCAAAUGGCCGCCAUGACCGGCGCUGCACUGAUCUGAAGCCAGGAGCCAGGUGCUUCUUCCUGGUCUUUCACAUGGGCUCCACAGCGGCCUCGAGGUCUUGCAGCAUGAUGUCAUAGAAACUGCUUUGUACUGGUGAGUAAUAAACACAAUUCUGCUGUGAGAAGACGACACUCAGGAGGAGGGAAUGUGUGGAGCCCUUUGGAAUUGUAGUGCUCUGCGUGAGGAACGGGGUGUGUGUCCCUGGUGGUGGGUGGGUGCAGCAAGUAUCUCUGGACCUCUCCCGAGCAGCCGUUCCUCCUCUCCCUUGUGUGGUUGGCUGGACAGUUGAAGGGCGGGGACUGCUGCCUCGGUGUCACUGUUGGAGCUGACUGAAAGACGCCAUGGCUGAGCCCCCCGGGGGUGUGUUGAUGGCAUCAUUUGAGGUGUGAGCCUGGGACUUGAUGGACGUUUGGGUGUCAUGCAGCCGAGGAGAAUGCGCCGAUUUCCCUGUCUCCUGCUGCCAGAGCCAUGAAAUCAAGGCUGCUUUGCACCAAGUGCCGGGUGAGCCGUCUUCUCAUCCCCAUCAGACACAGACGUUUCUGUUGAGGAGAAGCAUCUGCUCUUCAUGUCAGUUCCGCACCUGGACCAGGCCUCAGCCCUGUUUUCUUCAGGACCUCUCAGGUUGAUGGGUGAGGAGACCCAUGGGAGGAGGACUUAGAAGUCCGGAGGCUGAGUGCCUUCUAGUUGUGCACAGAAACACCCUGUGCGUGUCUUCCUUAAUUGCAGAGUGUUCCUGAUGUCAUGGGCACGUAGGAACCAGAGAGGAACCUCUGCCCUGGACCUCUCUCUGCUGGAUCUCAGCCGCCUCAUGUUUCUUGGUGCUGUUUUUUUUUUUUUUUCUUUAAGAGUUUAUUCAAGUCAGAGGUAUCUGCAUUUAUAGCUUCUUCCUGAUAAUUCUUUCCUCUCCUGAUGGAGUUUCAUUUCUCCUGUGUUUCAGGAGAUGCCUAGGGGGGGGGGUGUCCCCCAUUGGAUUCUAGUCUGAGGGAGUCUUUCAUGGUGAGUCACGUGCUGCUUUGCUCAUUAGAAGAAUCCUAAGUAAGAUGGGAAAAGACUCUUUUUGUUGGAGAGAGAAAAUGAAAACCAGCUUUUCUGAGGCCAGAGGGGCUCAUGUGGUAAUAAAUGAUGAAUUCAUCCUUUUUUUUCUGCCAUCCCUCCCAGUGGCAGUUGAUCUCAUGACAGCUGUUUCCAGCUGUACUCUGGAUUUUGAGCAGGCCCCUUGGGAUGGCUGUAAUGACUCACACAGCUGGGCUUUUUCCACAACGGGCUGAACCUGGCUGCUCGAGGAGCAGGGGCUGGAGGCAGGGAAGGUGACUCUGGUGGCUGGAGGAGAUUUCCUUGUUGGGAUCGCUGUCCCUGCAGGGCCCUCCUGUCCACAGAGAUCCUGGGAGAUAACGUCUGAGGCAGGGUAGAGAAUGUGUUCAUAGAGAACGUGUGUUGGAGAAAGCCAAAUGUUCUUUGUUUAAUUUUUUUUCUUU